Molecule: long non-coding RNA, 216 nt
Filed under: Monodelphis domestica (gray short-tailed opossum)
Lineage: Eukaryota; Metazoa; Chordata; Mammalia; Didelphimorphia; Didelphidae
Description: lncRNA (ENSMODG00000045134.1)
Source: RNAcentral
CCUGACACAAUAACUGUUUGACCCCAGAAACCUACUAUAUUCAAGACAAUGGCAAGAAAAGUGGGAGUGAGAAAAAAAGAAAAAUAACUAAUUUUUGCACUUGUGAAGAUUGGAUUUGGCUCUCCCCUGAUUAUAACAAUGAAGGGAUAAAGGGGGUAAAGCAGGAAGCCAGGAUCUGAGAUCCCCUUCAACUAGACAGUAGCUCAAAACAAGCAG